GACGAACGCUGGCGGCGUGCUUAACACAUGCAAGUCGAACGGAAAGGCCCUGCUUUUGUGGGGUGCUCGAGUGGCGAACGGGUGAGUAACACGUGAGUAACCUGCCCUUGACUUUGGGAUAACUUCAGGAAACUGGGGCUAAUACCGGAUAGGAGCUCCUGCUGCAUGGUGGGGGUUGGAAAGUUUCGGCGGUUGGGGAUGGACUCGCGGCUUAUCAGCUUGUUGGUGGGGUAGUGGCUUACCAAGGCUUUGACGGGUAGCCGGCCUGAGAGGGUGACCGGCCACAUUGGGCCUGCGAUACGGCCCAGACUCCUACGGUAGGCAGCAGUGGGGAAUAUUGCCCAAUGGGCGGAAGCCUGAUGCAGCAACGCCGCGUGCGGGAUGACGGCCUUCGGGUUGUAAACCGCUUUCGCCUGUGACGAAGCGUGAGUGACGGUAAUGGGUAAAGAAGCACCGGCUAACUACGUG
Molecule: ribosomal RNA, 468 nt
Filed under: uncultured bacterium
Lineage: Bacteria
Description: partial 16S ribosomal RNA
Rfam family: Bacterial small subunit ribosomal RNA
Source: RNAcentral